Molecule: ribosomal RNA, 930 nt
Filed under: marine metagenome
Description: bacterial SSU rRNA
Rfam family: Bacterial small subunit ribosomal RNA
Source: RNAcentral
CGCGUGAGGGACGAAGGCCUCUGGGCUGUAAACCUCUUUUCUCAAGGAAGAAGAUAUGACGGUACUUGAGGAAUAAGCCACGGCUAAUUCCGUGCCAGCAGCCGCGGUAAUACGGGAGUGGCAAGCGUUAUCCGGAAUUAUUGGGCGUAAAGCGUCCGCAGGCGGCUUUUCAAGUCUGCUGUUAAAGCGUGGAGCUUAACUCCAUCAUGGCAGUGGAAACUGAAAGGCUUGAGUAUGGUAGGGGCAGAGGGAAUUCCCGGUGUAGCGGUGAAAUGCGUAGAUAUCGGGAAGAACACCAGUGGCGAAGGCGCUCUGCUGGGCCAUUACUGACGCUCAUGGACGAAAGCCAGGGGAGCGAAAGGGAUUAGAUACCCCUGUAGUCCUGGCCGUAAACGAUGAACACUAGGUGUCGGGGGAAUCGACCCCUUCGGUGUCGUAGCUAACGCGUUAAGUGUUCCGCCUGGGGAGUACGCACGCAAGUGUGAAACUCAAAGGAAUUGACGGGGGCCCGCACAAGCGGUGGAGUAUGUGGUUUAAUUCGAUGCAACGCGAAGAACCUUACCAGGGUUUGACAUCCUGCGAACCUCUUAGAAAUUUGAGGGUGCCUUCGGGAAUGCAGUGACAGGUGGUGCAUGGCUGUCGUCAGCUCGUGUCGUGAGAUGUUGGGUUAAGUCCCGCAACGAGCGCAACCCACGUUUUUAGUUGCCAGCAUUUAGUUGGGCACUCUAGAAAGACCGCCGGUGAUAAACCGGAGGAAGGUGUGGAUGACGUCAAGUCAUCAUGCCCCUUACACCCUGGGCUACACACGUACUACAAUGCUACGGACAAAGGGCAGCAAACUCGCGAGAGCUAGCAAAUCCCAUAAACCGUGGCUCAGUUCAGAUCGUAGGCUGCAACUCGCCUACGUGAAGUAGGAAUCGCUAGUAAUCG